RNAcentral lists this ribosomal RNA (357 nucleotides) under Triticum aestivum (bread wheat). RNAcentral describes it as "partial small subunit ribosomal RNA". The record is from RNAcentral. Lineage: Eukaryota; Viridiplantae; Streptophyta; Magnoliopsida; Poales; Poaceae.
AUGCAGAUGCUGAGUCCCGGGCUUCCCCGAACUUGGCUCUCCAGGCUGCAAUCGACGGAGGCCGGCCUUGCUUAUCUCCCCUCAUGGCCGAUCAAGGAGGCGAACAGUGUCAAUCUGUCAUCGACACCUCAGGGUAUGGCCGCCACAUCUGGUCUAAAAAACAAGCACCGGGUCCUUCUCCUCCAUGAAUCAGAUGUCAACAAGGCAACACGAAUCUGCAUGAGGCUGAACAUAAAAGAAAGAAAAUGGAGACAACUCGACGAGUUUAGGAACAACAUGUCAUCGACGAUGAGCACUUUUCCAGUCAGGGAAAGGAUUUUUUUAUGCCACGCUAGGACUUUUCGUGGUAUGGAUUGA